CCAGACUCCUACGGGAGGCAGCAGUGAGGAAUAUUGGUCAAUGGACGAGAGUCUGAACCAGCCAAGUAGCGUGAAGGAUGACUGCCCUAUGGGUUGUAAACUUCUUUUAUAAAGGAAUAAAACGAGGCACGUGUGCCUUUUUGCAUGUACUUUAUGAAUAAGGAUCGGCUAACUCCGUGCCAGCAGCCGCGGUAAUACGGAGGAUCCGAGCGUUAUCCGGAUUUAUUGGGUUUAAAGGGUGCGUAGGCGGCCUUUUAAGUCAGCGGUGAAAGUCUGUGGCUCAACCAUAGAAUUGCCGUUGAAACUGGGGGGCUUGAGUAUGUUUGAGGCAGGCGGAAUGCGUGGUGUAGCGGUGAAAUGCUUAGAUAUCACGAAGAACUCCGAUUGCGAAGGCAGCUUACUAAACUGCCACUGACAUUGAUGCUCGAAAGUGUGGGUAUCAAACAGGAUUAGAUACCCGAGUA
This 464-nucleotide ribosomal RNA is filed under the name uncultured bacterium. RNAcentral describes it as "bacterial SSU rRNA". It matches the Rfam family "Bacterial small subunit ribosomal RNA", at positions 331 to 792 of the family's 1533-position model. The record is from RNAcentral.